AAUAGAGAAAUGUUAUUUUAAUAGAAUAGAAAAUGAAUAGUGGAUGAGAUGUAUGAGAUUUUAAAAAAUAGUAAAAUUUAAAAAAAAAAUUGUAAAAUAUGAAUUUUUUAACCACGUUUUAGGAAAAUUUAUGGAUGACUCACGUGUAAAUGCUGCAAGACGAACAACAAAUAGCCCAGCUUCCUCGUCAAAACACACAAUGCCAUAAUAAUGCCUUUUGUGGCUUCGGUGGUACUUCAGAUUAACCCAGCCCAGUUGCAAAUUUCUCGGAUUUGCAGACUUUAUCCUCAGAGGGUCUACGAACCAUAAGAAGAGAGAGGCCGACAAUUCAGGCAAUUCAGUAGCGUCGCGUUGUAGCAUCUCAAAUCUCAAACUAGGUAACCAUCCUUCAUUCGUAUCUCCUAAAUCAACCGGAUUUUCUCUCAACCAAAUCCAAGGACCCAAAAACUAAAGCACAGACCUUCGCAAACUAGCGACGCAAACUUUUUCUCAACCUCCUAUCUCAAAUGCAUCUCAGGACUUCCUAAUUCCAAGGACCCACAAUCUCUGACAGUCUCCUUCCUCCAAGAUUCAUGUGGGUUUUCCCUAGAAUCGGCCAUUUCAUAUUCCAAGAAGCUCAUCAUUGAGAACGUAAAGAAUCCCAAUUCAGUUCUUGACCUGCUGAGAAAUCACGGUUUGACGCAGACCCACAUCAGCAACUUAAUUAGAAUUCGUCCACUAUUGCUUUCGGCUGAUUUAGACAAUACCCUUAUGCCCAACAUGGAAGUGUUUGAAUCCUUGGGGUUUUCUGGCUCUAGUCUAGCCAAAAUGCUUAGCAAACACCCAGCUGUGCUAGAAAGUGAUGCACACGCUGCUGUCGAGUUUUUUUAGGGCACAUGGUUUUAGUGACAUGCAAAUAACAACUUUGAUGAUGAUUUGUCCCUCAUUGUAUACGUAUAAUGCUCAAAAGAUUUUUAAGCCAAAGUUGGAUUUUUUCAAGUCGUUAGGUUUUUCAAAUCUUGAAAUUACAAAGAUUUUAUCCUCAGAGCCGUAUAUUCUAACAAGGAGCCUCGAAAAAACAAUCAUUCCGUCUGUUCAAGAGCUUAGGCGGAUUCUUGGAACUGACGAGAAUGUCUUAAAGGUUAUAAAGACAUACUGCCCAGUACUUAGAACAAACGUUGUACAUACGCUACAGCCCAACAUCGCUACUCUGAUAAGCCAUGGUGUUCUCCAGUCAUUAGUUUUGAAUUUCUUUAGUAGACCAUCGUCUCUGCUUAUCUGUGGCAAUCGGUUUAGUGAGAUUGUUAGUGAAGUUAUGAAAUUGGGUUUUGAUCCCAAUUGUCUGAAAUUUGUUCUCGCCAUUAGAUCCAUGGCACUAAAUAGUAAAACACUGUGGUAGCAGAAGGUGGAAGCUUUUAGCAGUUUUGGUUGGUCAAAGGAUGAGAUUUAUUUUGCAUUCAAGCGGCAACCCUUGUGUAUGACUGUUUCAGAGAAGAAGAUCAAGAAAAUGAUGGGUUUCUUUGUGAACAAACUGAAGAUGAAGCCUUCUAUGAUCUCCAAUUGUCCGAAUCUUCUAAUGCAUAGCUUGGAGAAGCGGAUUAUUCCGAGGUGUUCAGUUAUGCAAGUUUUGAUGUGGAAGGGGUUGAUCAAGGAGGAUACCAUUGUUUAUAUGCUCAUAAUGGCCGAGAAGAAAUUCAUGGUGAAAUUUGUGAGCAAGUAUCAAAAUGAGAUUCCUGAUGUUGUUAGAGCACACCAAGGGAAGAUAGAAUUUCAAGGGCUCCCCAUAGCCAUGGAGAUGUGAGUACUUUUGACAUAAUCAAAUGCGGCAUUGGCUAAAGAUCAUGGGUUCAGUUUUAGUUCAACUUGUUAUGGAGAUGUCUCAGAAACUUUGUAUGGAUGAUGCUUCCUUAUCGUGGAGAAAAAGGAAGAAGCACUUUUUACCAGAAACUGCACAGUUUUCAUGCCAAUGCACAUUUUUAUAUUGACUCUCAGCCUCACAUAUUGACUGCCCGAUACAGAGACGGAUUCGGAGACGAACACAAGCUAGCAGGAUUUUCUGAUUUUGCUGGUUUAUGAUGGGUUGAAAUGUUUGAUUGUGCGGAUUUUGUGAUGGGCUGAAAUGUUAUGAACAAAAUGUUCAGGAUCUAUUGCCCAUACUUCAUAGUCUCUAUCCAUUGUCUUUGUUUUUAAUUUUUGGUGAUGGGCGGUGUUUUAAUUUGCUGCCGUGAAUUGUGGAAUUGGGCAGUGAAUUGUGGAAUUAAAUGUUGUGGAAUGCUGUAGACUGUAGUGUUCUUCUGAUUGGUGUAGUUAGAUGUUGUAAUUUUAUUGUUUCUAGUGUGGAAGAGUUGUUUUGUUAGGGUUUUUACAGUUUGUUAGUAUUGUGUAUUAUUAACUUAUUAUACUAGAGUUAUUAGUGA
Molecule: long non-coding RNA, 2396 nt
Organism: Carya illinoinensis
Lineage: Eukaryota; Viridiplantae; Streptophyta; Magnoliopsida; Fagales; Juglandaceae
Exons: 2
Source: RefSeq, a predicted model, not a curated record